AGAGCGAACGCUGGCGGCAUGCUUAACACAUGCAAGUCGCACGGGCAGGGGAGACCCUGUCAGUGGCGGACGGGUGAGUAACGCGUAGGUAUCUAUCCUUGGGUGGGGGACAACGGCUGGAAACGGCUGCUAAUACCGCAUGAUGACCGAGGUCUAAAGGCGCAAGUCGCCUGGGGAGGAGCCUGCGUACGAUUAGCUUGUUGGUGGGGUAAAGGCCUACCAAGGCUACGAUCGUUAGCUGGUCUGAGAGGAUGAUCAGCCACAUUGGGACUGAGACACGGCCCAAACUCCUACGGGAGGCAGCAGUGGGGAAUAUUGGACAAUGGGCGCAAGCCUGAUCCAGCAAUGCCGCGUGUGUGAAGAAGGUCUUCGGAUUGUAAAGCACUUUCGACGGGGACGAGUGAUGACGGUACCCGUAGAACGAAGCCCCGGCUAACUUCGUGCCAGCAGCCGC
RNAcentral lists this ribosomal RNA (454 nucleotides) under uncultured bacterium. RNAcentral's name for it is "SSU rRNA". It matches the Rfam family "Bacterial small subunit ribosomal RNA", at positions 26 to 518 of the family's 1533-position model. The record is from RNAcentral.